CUGUAAAAUCAAAACUGAAACAGAACGCAACUGCUGUUGAUGUACUGUCCUGGUGUGCAAGGGCUGCAGACAGCAAUCCUCUGGUUUGUGUAUGUGUCUAGCUGGGCAGUGCUAGACGGAGAAAGGGACCAUUGAUACAAUG
Sardina pilchardus (European sardine) is the source of this 142-nucleotide small nucleolar RNA. RefSeq annotates it as small nucleolar RNA SNORA70. NCBI's taxonomy places the organism in Eukaryota, Metazoa, Chordata, Actinopteri, Clupeiformes, Clupeidae. The transcript has a single exon. The record is from RefSeq and is a predicted model, not a curated record.